This 328-nucleotide ribosomal RNA is filed under the name uncultured eukaryote. RNAcentral describes it as "partial 18S ribosomal RNA". It matches the Rfam family "Eukaryotic small subunit ribosomal RNA", at positions 1470 to 1796 of the family's 1831-position model. The record is from RNAcentral.
CCCUUAGAUGUUCUGGGCCGCACGCGUGCUACACUGAUGCAUUCAACGAGUCUAAAACCUGGUCUGAUAGGGCUGGGUAAUCUUUUGAAAGUGUAUCGUGAUUGGGAUAGAUGAUUGCAAUUCUUCAUCUUCAACGAGGAAUGCCUAGUAAACGCAAGUCAUCAGCUUGCAUUGAUUACGUCCCUGCCCUUUGUACACACCGCCCGUCGCACCUACCGAUUGGAUGGUCCGGUGAAGCCUCGGGAUUGUGGUUCUUGCCGCUUUAUUGUGGCGUGACCGCGAGAACUUGUCUAAACCUUAUCAUCUAGAGGAAGGUGAAGUCGUAACA